This 469-nucleotide ribosomal RNA is filed under the name Microbacterium foliorum. RNAcentral's name for it is "bacterial SSU rRNA". It matches the Rfam family "Bacterial small subunit ribosomal RNA", at positions 75 to 559 of the family's 1533-position model. The record is from RNAcentral. Lineage: Bacteria; Bacillati; Actinomycetota; Actinomycetes; Micrococcales; Microbacteriaceae.
UGGACUUGCUCUGUGGGUCAGUGGCGACGGGUGAGUACACGUGAGCAACCUGCCCCUGACUCUGGGAUAAGCGCUGGAAACGGCGUCUAAUACUGGAUACGAGUAGCGACCGCAUGGUCAGUUACUGGAAAGAUUUAUUGGUUGGGGAUGGGCUCGCGGCCUAUCAGCUUGUUGGUGAGGUAAUGGCUCACCAAGGCGUCGACGGGUAGCCGGCCUGAGAGGGUGACCGGCCACACUGGGACUGAGACACGGCCCAGACUCCUACGGGAGGCAGCAGUGGGGAAUAUUGCACAAUGGGCGCAAGCCUGAUGCAGCAACGCCGCGUGAGGGAUGACGGCCUUCGGGUUGUAAACCUCUUUUAGCAGGGAAGAAGCGAAAGUGACGGUACCUGCAGAAAAAGCGCCGGCUAACUACGUGCCAGCAGCCGCGGUAAUACGUAGGGCGCAAGCGUUAUCCGGAUUUUUUGGGG